This is a long non-coding RNA of Cataglyphis hispanica, 975 nucleotides long. RefSeq lists it as uncharacterized. The record is from RefSeq and is a predicted model, not a curated record. The transcript has 3 exons. NCBI's taxonomy places the organism in Eukaryota, Metazoa, Arthropoda, Insecta, Hymenoptera, Formicidae.
UCAAACUGGUGGUGCACGUUUCAGACGUAAAACAUAUACUUAUAUUUAUAUAUGUAUAUAAGUAUAUAAAUAAAAUUUGUGAUACAAAACCAAUAAAUAAUACACAUUGUCAGUUAUUUUGCUGAAUUUUUCUGAUGGCUACAAUAACAGAUUUGCCCGACGAUGUGAUUAUUAUCAUUCUGGGAAGGACGAGCUUCGAGGAUAUCGUGAAUUUUCAGUCCACGUGCAAAAGACUUCAGCAGAUAACACUAUUCAACAAGUUUUGCUGAAGGAAAUAUUAUCAGAGCUGUCCUACUGCAGAAAAUAAAUAUAACAAAACGAAACAGAAGAAAAUAUUUCAUCAAAUCAAUUUCAAAGAAAAACUAAAAGCAGGAUUAUAUCAUGUUCAAAAGUUCCAAAAUUAUGUGUCUUUGAUGUCCGAAAAUAAGUUAACUGAUAUUGACAAAAACAAUUCAAACACCAUUUGCGUUCAACUGUUCAAAUUUCCAUGACGUAUUAUCUUGUGUGGGAUGAGAUAGAAAGAAUUUCUGCGCAAAAAUUAUACGAAUUGUUUCCCAAUUUGACGCGUGAAUAUUACUUGAAGCUGACUUGUCACUACCUAAAACAGUAUCGAUUUAUACAUAAGCAAAUGAAACUUAUGUUAAAGCAGAAGACAAAAUUACUUUUGGAAAAACAACUUACGAUUAUAGCGCAAUAUUUUCAACUACAUGUGUCUGUAAAAACGUGGCUAGAUGAAAUAGCAAUCAGUACUAUCUCGUCUGAAAAAUAAAUAUAGUAAUCAUUCAAUUUACAACUACGGCUUCAGAGCAAUUUUCUUUUUGGAGAGAUUAUAAUAUUGAUGAUAAUUUCUGGGAUGAAACAGAAUCAAGGCAAAUUAUGUGUGUUCUCAAACAAUAUAUAUUUUCCGAAUUAGAGAUUCCUGAAUUUCAUAAAUUAUUAAUUUCCUCAACAUUAGACUUUGAAGCCGAAGAUAUG